RNAcentral lists this long non-coding RNA (775 nucleotides) under Ananas comosus (pineapple). Its description in RNAcentral is "long non-coding RNA (ACOM_LNC021426)". The record is from RNAcentral. Lineage: Eukaryota; Viridiplantae; Streptophyta; Magnoliopsida; Poales; Bromeliaceae.
GCCAUACGCUUCCGGCUUAGUUGCAAUUUAAGGUAAUUGACUUUCAAUUUGCGUGAAUUGAGCUCAAUUCGAAAGUUUGCUUUUUGAUCGUAAUUCCGAAGGUUUUAUCGUGUUUAGUGUUUCCGGGCAAUUGUGAGCAUAGGAAAAGCACGUGAGGAGCGUUUCUUUUGCUUAAGUUGACGUAGCGAGUCGAGGUGAGUUCUGAGUUGCCGAAAAUGGCGAAUUUCCUUCUAUGUCUAUUUUAGCAACGUAUAUAGCACUUGAACACAUGUAUAUGAAUUAUAUAGUAUCGAUCAUUCUAGCUAGACAUUCGAAGUAUGAACACACGAUUUCGUACCGGUAGCAUGAACAUGAGCAUGAAUAGAAAGCUUGAACUUGAACAUGAAGGGUAAACAUAUUUUUUUUGACGACGUAUAUCAUAGUUGAAGUAUGAGCAUGCUAUGAGUUACAUGAUAGAGGUCUAGAAUUUGUAUGACAUUUGUGGGCGACCUUUGACAGUUAACAUGCUACAUGAUAGAGGUCGUGGGAGGCCAGUUGACAUUAGACAGUUGUGGUGAGGCCUUUUGGAUGUUUUAUUUUUAUGUUGAGAUCGUUGAGCCGUUUCAUGUGAUUCUUUGUCGGUCCCAUUGUCUGAUCGUCGUGCUAUGAUAACAGCUAGUAUUCUUUCGUAUUAGAUGUUCUGACUUAGGUCGUGGGAGGCCAAUCGACAACUUGUGCAUCUUGAGGAGUCCUUGAUUGCUCAUGACUUAUGUGAGUCAUCUAUCAUCUAUUUAUU